RNAcentral lists this ribosomal RNA (257 nucleotides) under uncultured bacterium. Its description in RNAcentral is "partial 16S ribosomal RNA". It matches the Rfam family "Bacterial small subunit ribosomal RNA", at positions 524 to 776 of the family's 1533-position model. The record is from RNAcentral.
UACGUAGGGCGCAAGCGUUGUCCGGAAUUAUUGGGCGUAAAGAGCUCGUAGGCGGCUUGUCACGUCGGAUGUGAAAGCCCGGGGCUUAACCCCGGGUCUGCAUUCGAUACGGGCUAGCUAGAGUGUGGUAGGGGAGAUCGGAAUUCCUGGUGUAGCGGUGAAAUUGCGCAGAUAUCAAGGGAGGAACACCGGUGGCGAAGGCGGAUCUCUGGGCCAUUACUGACGCUGGAGGAGCGAAAGCGUGGGGAGCGAACAGG